RNAcentral lists this ribosomal RNA (505 nucleotides) under uncultured bacterium. Its description in RNAcentral is "bacterial SSU rRNA". It matches the Rfam family "Bacterial small subunit ribosomal RNA", at positions 15 to 518 of the family's 1533-position model. The record is from RNAcentral.
GAUCCUGGCUCAGGAUGAACGCUGGCGGCGUGCCUAACACAUGCAAGUCGAACGGAAACCAGACGCUUCGGAGACUUCGGUCAAUGUUUGUCUGGUUUAGUGGCGGACGGGUGAGUAACGCGUGGAUAACCUGCCCCAUACAGGGGGAUAACAGUUAGAAAUGACUGCUAAUACCGCAUAAGCGCACGGGACCGCAUGAUCCUGUGUGAAAAACUCCGGUGGUAUGAGAUGGAUCCGCGUCUGAUUAGCUAGUUGGCGGGGUAACAGCCCACCAAGGCGACGAUCAGUAGCCGGCCUGAGAGGGUGAACGGCCACAUUGGGACUGAGACACGGCCCAAACUCCUACGGGAGGCAGCAGUGGGGGAUAUUGCACAAUGGGGGAAACCCUGAUGCAGCCGACGCCGCGUGAGUGAAGAAGUAUUUCGGUAUGUAAAGCUCUAUCAGCAGGGAAGAUAAUGACGGUACCUGACUAAGAAGCACCGGCUAAAUACGUGCCAGCCGCUGC